Molecule: long non-coding RNA, 2288 nt
Filed under: Cucumis sativus (cucumber)
Lineage: Eukaryota; Viridiplantae; Streptophyta; Magnoliopsida; Cucurbitales; Cucurbitaceae
Description: long non-coding RNA (CSAT_LNC001236)
Source: RNAcentral
CUCUUAGUGGGAUAUGUGGCUAUAUGAGAUAUAGACACCUAGCCCACUAAGUUCCACUAAUUGUUAGUGGAACAUUAGGUGUUGAGAUUUGGCAAAUGAAUUGCAUGCAUUUUUGCAUGUAAUUAGGUUAUAAAUAGAGGUGUUUUCAAAUGUUGAAGAACUUUUGCCUCUUUUAUCAUUUUCAUCAUCUCAACAAAAGAAAAAAAAACCUUCCAAUCCCAUUUUAUCUCCAUUACUUUCUACACCAAAAUUGGGUCCCACAACCCGGUUCUUUGUCUAGAGGAUAGCAGUUGAGUACUAGUGGUGGUCUCGGUUAGAAUUGGUAAGAAGAUAUCAAACCUUUUGAAAGCUUCAAAGGUAAUAUUUCUUAAAACCCUAAUUUGAUUAGUUUAUGGUUACAUGUUAAUUGUGGCAAUUAUGGUAGAAAUUCGAUUCUUUUUCCGCUGUGCAUGACUUAGUUCUAUCAAAAAGGUGCAUUGUUGGAUAUCUCAUCCCAUCUCGUGGUUGAUGUUGAUGAGAUAUCCAACAAUGAAUCCUUCGUAUAGAAUGAGCAGCAUAUUAACAUCAAUCAUUCGUAUAGAGAAUUAGUUGUCUUGUAUAAUAAAUUAAGGGCAAAAUGAUACGUUUCUUUAUUUAUUUCAUGAUAGUUGGUUUUGCAACUAAUGUAACUGUGGUCUAUCACUAAUAGUAUUUAAAUAUAGAUCUCAUUAAUUGACAACAUCUUAUUCUUUUUCUUUUUUACAUUCCUUGUGCUUGCUACAUAGUAAAAUUUUAUGUGACUGUUUGCUAUAUUUAUGUUGUACUCUCUUUAAGCGAGUUAUACUCUCUUGCACUAUGAUGUAUGCUUAUAUUCAUGUUGUCUUUGUAGGUUCAACUGGAGCUGACAACUUCAUGAGUAUUCCUUCAAAGAAGUUUAUCUAGACCAUCAAAAUACAUUGGCUAGCAUGGUUCAAGCAACAAAGAAUAUUUUCAGAGAUGAAGACUUACCGGUUGGUUGUUUAUGUUUGUGUAGAAAAUCAUGUUAUAUGUAUUCUGAUGGAAUUUACACUGGUUUUGAUUAAGGGCUGAAAUUUCAUACUUGUAGCCAACAUGAGCUUAGCUCAACCGACACCUGUAUCUUCCUGUGGACAAGAGAUCUCAGGUCCAAAUCCCUACCCAGCAUUUAUUAUAAUCGACAAUAUUAAAACAAUGACAAUUUUUUUAUAAAAAAGCUGUCACAAUUGGCCUAUUGUCAUUUGAUUUUAUAAAACUAAUUGUCAUGACAUAUCCUUGACAUUUAAAUUUUUUCAUAAUAAACGAAUUUGCGACAUUUUUUUAACUGUCGUUAAUGUAGAUACCGUAUUUUGUCCCGCCUUUUUAUUUUUUUCAUUUAAAGUUUUCCAUCCCUAUUUUUUCUCAACCAUCCCCUACUUUUGUUUUUUUCUUCCUCGUCACGCUUUGUUUUUCCACGCUCCCACCUUCUUCCCUUUUUUCUUCACUCCACUUCACUAUCUAAAACUACUCCACUUCACUGUCUAAAGAAAAGAGACAUUGCCCUAUAAAAAGGGAAGAAGAAGUUUUGGGGGGAAAGAACCUUUUGCAUUUAAGGCAUAUAUGUUGGUAAGUUUUUUUUUUUUUUUUCUGUAUUCAUACUUGAUGAUACUGAGUUAAUUAUUUGGCACCCACAUGAGUGUUGUCUUAAUUAGACAUUUAAAUCACUCAUUAAUUAGUUGUUGUGUUAAUCAUUGACUUUUCUAGUAUUAAGUUAUGUAUAUACCUAUUAUUGUUGUUUCAUUUUGUCUGAUAAUUUGCUAGGCUCCAAAAAUCAAUGACUUCAUCACCUUCAACAAAUAAAGGUUCACAAAGUCCAAAUAUGAGUACCAACUCCAAUUGUAAACCCAAUUUCAAGUCCAACCCACACUCAACACCACUUUAAAACCAAAUUUCAACUUCAUGCUCUUCAAUUGAUGACAAUUUGAUUGUUGAUUAUUAUGUUGUUGUUGGUGAAAGUAUUGGAAUGAUCUUUAAAGAAGAUAUUGACAUUGGUUGUCUUGAGAUCACCCCCAAGUUGUAAACUCGGGGUAAAGUUCCUUCAAUACCGGGACAACUUUGUUAUGAGUUUCAAAAUUAGGGUGAUACAUUUAGGUUUAAUAAGUAGGAAUAUCUAAGUUUUAUGGCAUGUUUACUUGAGUUGUUUAUUUCAUUUCUAUUCUUUUUUCGUUUUGACAUCUUUAAGAAUAUUUAUACGUAUGUAUAUAAAUUGACAUCUCUAGCUAAGAAUAUCUAGAUUCUCUUAAUUUAUGUUUUUU